This 1408-nucleotide ribosomal RNA is filed under the name Klebsiella sp. P10. RNAcentral describes it as "bacterial SSU rRNA". It matches the Rfam family "Bacterial small subunit ribosomal RNA". The record is from RNAcentral. Lineage: Bacteria; Pseudomonadati; Pseudomonadota; Gammaproteobacteria; Enterobacterales; Enterobacteriaceae.
CAUGCAAGUCGAGCGGUAGCACAGAGAGCUUGCUCUCGGGUGACGAGCGGCGGACGGGUGAGUAAUGUCUGGGAAACUGCCUGAUGGAGGGGGAUAACUACUGGAAACGGUAGCUAAUACCGCAUAACGUCGCAAGACCAAAGUGGGGGACCUUCGGGCCUCAUGCCAUCAGAUGUGCCCAGAUGGGAUUAGCUAGUAGGUGGGGUAACGGCUCACCUAGGCGACGAUCCCUAGCUGGUCUGAGAGGAUGACCAGCCACACUGGAACUGAGACACGGUCCAGACUCCUACGGGAGGCAGCAGUGGGGAAUAUUGCACAAUGGGCGCAAGCCUGAUGCAGCCAUGCCGCGUGUGUGAAGAAGGCCUUCGGGUUGUAAAGCACUUUCAGCGGGGAGGAAGGCGAUAAGGUUAAUAACCUUGUCGAUUGACGUUACCCGCAGAAGAAGCACCGGCUAACUCCGUGCCAGCAGCCGCGGUAAUACGGAGGGUGCAAGCGUUAAUCGGAAUUACUGGGCGUAAAGCGCACGCAGGCGGUCUGUCAAGUCGGAUGUGAAAUCCCCGGGCUCAACCUGGGAACUGCAUUCGAAACUGGCAGGCUAGAGUCUUGUAGAGGGGGGUAGAAUUCCAGGUGUAGCGGUGAAAUGCGUAGAGAUCUGGAGGAAUACCGGUGGCGAAGGCGGCCCCCUGGACAAAGACUGACGCUCAGGUGCGAAAGCGUGGGGGAGCAAACAGGAUUAGAUACCCUGGUAGUCCACGCCGUAAACGAUGUCGAUUUGGAGGUUGUGCCCUUGAGGCGUGGCUUCCGGAGCUAACGCGUUAAAUCGACCGCCUGGGGAGUACGGCCGCAAGGUUAAAACUCAAAUGAAUUGACGGGGGCCCGCACAAGCGGUGGAGCAUGUGGUUUAAUUCGAUGCAACGCGAAGAACCUUACCUGGUCUUGACAUCCACAGAACUUACCAGAGAUGGCUUGGUGCCUUCGGGAACUGUGAGACAGGUGCUGCAUGGCUGUCGUCAGCUCGUGUUGUGAAAUGUUGGGUUAAGUCCCGCAACGAGCGCAACCCUUAUCCUUUGUUGCCAGCGGUUAGGCCGGGAACUCAAAGGAGACUGCCAGUGAUAAACUGGAGGAAGGUGGGGAUGACGUCAAGUCAUCAUGGCCCUUACGACCAGGGCUACACACGUGCUACAAUGGCAUAUACAAAGAGAAGCGACCUCGCGAGAGCAAGCGGACCUCAUAAAGUAUGUCGUAGUCCGGAUUGGAGUCUGCAACUCGACUCCAUGAAGUCGGAAUCGCUAGUAAUCGUAGAUCAGAAUGCUACGGUGAAUACGUUCCCGGGCCUUGUACACACCGCCCGUCACACCAUGGGAGUGGGUUGCAAAAGAAGUAGGUAGCUUAACCUUCGGGAGGGCGC